RNAcentral lists this ribosomal RNA (253 nucleotides) under uncultured bacterium. Its description in RNAcentral is "partial 16S ribosomal RNA". It matches the Rfam family "Bacterial small subunit ribosomal RNA", at positions 524 to 776 of the family's 1533-position model. The record is from RNAcentral.
UACGUAGGGUGCAAGCGUUGUCCGGAAUUAUUGGGCGUAAAGAGCUCGUAGGCGGUUUGUUGCGUCGGCUGUGAAAUCCCGAGGCUCAACCUCGGGUCUGCAGUCGAUACGAGCAAACUAGAGUGUUGCAGGGGAGACUGGAAUUCCUGGUGUAGCGGUGAAAUGCGCAGAUAUCAGGAGGAACACCGGUGGCGAAGGCGGGUUGCUGGGCCGACACUGACGCUGAUGCGCGAAAGCCAGGGGAGCGAACGGG